Molecule: non-coding RNA, 1462 nt
Organism: Xyrichtys novacula (pearly razorfish)
Lineage: Eukaryota; Metazoa; Chordata; Actinopteri; Labriformes; Labridae
Source: the annotation of a GenBank genome assembly
CCCCGCUGCAGUCCGUAAUGGACUGGCCCGAGGUCUCCGCACAAACAAGCGGCUGCCGGAAAAGUGUAGGUUAGUUGCGUGUAGUCUCUUUGCCAAAGAAAUUUGACAAAGUUAAAAAGAUGUUUGGUGGCUUGUACUGUGGUUAGGACCCUAUAUGUCCUGUUGAUGAAGUUAGGUGCUGUUCUGAGCAUUAUUUGUGGCUAUAAAGUGGUGUUUUGGUUGAGGUUUGUUUAUGGCUCCUCAGACUGCUGUGUAUUGCUAUCCUGUAGUUGUUACUAAAGUUGGUAAAACUAGAGAAGCAAGCGGUCUGCAACGUUCAACUCUCGGGGGGUUGUCUAACUCAGUGUUACAGUGUGUUUGACCCUACAUUCAUUAUACACUGGAAUAUCCUUUAAGCCCACACAGUGACUUCUGCUACAGAGUUCUGUCUGUUUCUAAUAUACUGCCCAAAGACCUAAAGAUCAGGGCCAUCCAGUACUGGUUUUGGUCCUUAUCCCUUUUGUACAGAGUUUAUUUCAGACUCUGAAUCUUUCAAUCAUAUUAUGUACUUUAGAUGAUGAAAUCCACUCAUUCUCUGACAAUUUACACUCAGGAACUUUAUUCUGAAAUUGUUCAAGUAUCAGCUCACACAGUCUCUCACAGACUGAAGUAUCGAAUUGAAAUGAAGUAUAGUCUUACUCACUGACAGUCUCUCAGGAUGAACCGCUCACAGCUCUCUUUACAGCAGCAGACAUGUCUUCAAAAAAAGAUCAGUGUUUGGUCGUCUCUGGUCACAACUGUCACAAACUCUGAAAGCCCUUUUCCGUGGUAACAGACAGGAUGGCGCCAGCAUGGGACGCUGCUCAUGUAGCAUGUGGUUAAGGACGCUGAAAGAAAAAACACUCAGUCUCACAGAAACACAAACUAUAAACCCAACAGAUCCACAAAGAGCCAGAUCUCAUUCUUGAGAUGAAUAUAUAAAUAUUUUUGUUUAUAAAUAAUCCUCAUGUGCUUGGUGUUAGAGUGACUAUUUCACUGCAACCAAAUAUCAGAUAUAUUUGAUAUUUAUGAUUUCAGGUCAGACUGCCUCUGAUGGGAUACUAGCAGAAACCAAUAAAAGGAGCAGACUGGGAAACAUCCCCAACCAGGAAUACAACUCACAACCAUGUCAGCAAGUAUAAACAGGUGUGUGCUGUUACUCUGUGAUUUUCUUCUCAAAGUGAGUAUUUACAGUUUAUAUAAUCUGGCUGUAAUUUAUAUGCAUGGCAGGAGAGACGAUAAAAGCUGUUUUUCUUUUGUGAUUGAAGGCCGUCUGAUCGAUUCUUGGUGUCAGCUCAUGCACUGAGAGAAAAUUAUCCACCUUAACUAUGACUGUAUGAUAGCAGCACAGUGAAUUUCAUCAGUCUAACUACACCUCUGGAGUUAUGGUACAAAACACCAGAGUCUUAAUAAUGUCUCAUGAAGACAUAACACAACUCAUAAG